Molecule: ribosomal RNA, 252 nt
Filed under: uncultured bacterium
Lineage: Bacteria
Description: partial 16S ribosomal RNA
Rfam family: Bacterial small subunit ribosomal RNA
Source: RNAcentral
UACGGAGGGUGCGAGCGUUGUCCGGAUUUAUUGGGUUUAAAGGGUGCGUAGGUGGCUUAGUAAGUCAGUGGUGAAAUACAGCCGUCAACGGUUGAGGUGCCAUUGAUACUGUUAAGCUUGAAAUAAUUGGAGGCUGCCGGAAUGGAUGGUGUAGCGGUGAAAUGCAUAGAUAUCAUCCAGAACACCGAUUGCGAAGGCAGGUGGCUACGAUUUAUUUGACACUGAGGCACGAAAGCAUGGGGAGCAAACAGG